Molecule: ribosomal RNA, 253 nt
Filed under: uncultured bacterium
Lineage: Bacteria
Description: partial 16S ribosomal RNA
Rfam family: Bacterial small subunit ribosomal RNA
Source: RNAcentral
UACGAAGGGGGCUAGCGUUGUUCGGAAUUACUGGGCGUAAAGCGCGCGCAGGCGGCUAUCCAAGUCAGUGGUGAAAGCCCGGAGCUCAACUCCGGAACUGCCAUUGAAACUGUUUAGCUUGAGGAUGAGAGGGGUGAGUGGAAUUCCCAGUGUAGAGGUGAAAUUCGUAGAUAUUGGGAAGAACACCGGUGGCGAAGGCGGCUCACUGGCUCAUUACUGACGCUCAGGCGCGAUAGCGUGGGGAUCAAACAGG